CAACGAAUCUUCCGCAAUGGGCGCAAGCCUGACGGAGCGACGCCGCGUGUGGGAUGAAGUCCUUCGGGAUGUAAACCGCUGUCAGGGGUUAGGAAGAUCUGACCGGCCCCACAGGAAGCCCCGACUAAGUCUGUGCCAGCAGUCGCGGUAAUACAGACGGGGCCAGCGUUGUUCGGAAUCACUGGGCUUAAAGCGGGUGUAGGCGGGUCGGCAAGUGUCUUGUGAAAGCCCUCGGCUCAACCGAGGAAUUGCUGGGCAAACUGCUGGUCUUGAGGCGGGUAGGGGUGCAUGGAACUCUAGGUGGAGCGGUGAAAUGCGUAGAGAUCUAGAGGAACGCCGGUGGCGAAAGCGGUGCACUGGGCCCGAUCUGACGCUGAGACCCGAAAGCGUAGGGAGCAAACA
RNAcentral lists this ribosomal RNA (402 nucleotides) under uncultured bacterium. RNAcentral describes it as "bacterial SSU rRNA". It matches the Rfam family "Bacterial small subunit ribosomal RNA", at positions 355 to 774 of the family's 1533-position model. The record is from RNAcentral.